Molecule: transfer RNA, 65 nt
Filed under: Perkinsus olseni
Lineage: Eukaryota; Perkinsozoa; Perkinsida; Perkinsidae
Description: tRNA-Ser
Rfam family: tRNA
About the family: Transfer RNA (tRNA) molecules are approximately 80 nucleotides in length. Their secondary structure includes four short double-helical elements and three loops (D, anti-codon, and T loops).
Source: RNAcentral
UGGCCGAGUGGUUAAGGCGGCGGCCUGCUAAGCCGUUGGGCUAUGCCCGCGAGGGUUCGAAUCCC